Molecule: long non-coding RNA, 2761 nt
Filed under: Homo sapiens (human)
Lineage: Eukaryota; Metazoa; Chordata; Mammalia; Primates; Hominidae
Description: HSALNT0139989
Source: RNAcentral
AACAAAAGAAUUAAUUAAUAGCAAAAUAAACUAUAAGAAACAAUUUUUUUUUUCAGAGAGAAGUAAUACGACACGUAAAGAAACCUGGAUUGAAACAAAGAAAUGAAGAACACUAGAAAUGAAAUAAAUAAAGGUAUCCUGGCUUCCUCCCACACCCCAAAGCUGUGCACACGAGGUGAACUAGCGUACCCACAUGGACCUCAUCUGUGUGAGUGUGGGUGUGUUUGAGUGCACCCUCUGAUGGCAUAUCAUCCUGUCCAGGGUCGUUCUUCUAUUGCUCUGAACUGCCAGGAGUGGCUCUACCCACCUGUGACCCCAAACUCGUCUCAGCAGACAUGGUUUCCCUUUAUCGCUGAAGCUGGAAUACAGGGAUUAUAGCUCACUGCAGCCUUCGGCUCCUGGGCUCAAGUGAUAAUCUUGCCUCGGUAUCCCAAGUUGCUGAGUACCUGAGACUAAAGGUUUAUACUCACCUGUCCAUCAUGUGGAAGCUGGAGAGUCACUUCUUUUGAUAAUUCAAGGGAGAAGAUGAAAUUUCCAAUCAACUUCACAGUACUGUUUUAAAGAGACAGAAUGACCAGGCCUCUUCUGAUACAGGCUCCCACUAUAUGCCUCUGCAGAUGUAGGACAGGCUGUACCAAGAGUUGGUUUUCUCUCAGGAAAAAUGGAUUGGGAUAAUCCAGCACAGCUAUAAUUUUGUUACUAUUUUUAUUGUACCUCAAUGUGAUUUGAAGUAUGAAGGGCAGCGAAUUUGAAUCGUGGGAUUACCAGCUUGAUCCAGAAGUCCUAACCAUUGUCUUACAGGUGCCUGGAAAAUGCUGAUAUAUAGAUGGGGCAAAUACCCAACAGGCUGAUGUCAGAUCACCAGCAUCCAUGUCACGAGGACCCUUGACCAUCCUGAGGCCAGCAUCCAUGUCAUGAGGACCUUUGAGCAUCCUGUAGAGUGGUUCAUGUGGCAAAGAGCCAAGGCCUACCAGCAAGCAAGUGAGGUUGGAAGCAGUCCCUCCUCUAUUUGAGCCUUAGAUGACUGCAGGUCCUUGACUGUAGCCUAUGGAAAAGGCCCCCAGCAAACCCGCACCUGUUUUGUUCCACCUGUUUCCACAUAAACUGGGAGAUGAUAAAUGUUUGUUGUUUUAAGCUACUGAGGUUUAGGAGAAUUUGUUACAUAGCAAUAGAUAAUUAACAAACUUCAUAAUUCUUAAAAUAUUAAUUAAAGCUAUUAGAAAUAAUUAUUCACAUAUCAUAUUGACAAGGAUUGAAGUCUAAUGAUGCCCUAUGUUGAUAAUGUGUGGGAAAAAGACGCAUGCUACUGCUUACAGUGUGUAACUUGGUUCAUUUUUAAAGGGAAGAUAAUUCAUCACUGUGUACUAAAGUUUUAAAUGUUCAUCCUCAUUUACCCAGCAAUUUAUCUCUAAGAGUAUCUGCACAAAAUAUAUGCCCAAUAAUUAAGGACAGAUUAUAUUAAUUAUGGUUCACACAUGAAGUGGAAUACCUUGUGGCUUUUAUCAAAAAUAGGGUAUAUCUAAAUGUGCCGAUAUGUAAAGUUGCCAAAUAAAUAAUGCUGUUACUCUUGCAUUAUUUUCCAUUUCAUUUGGCUCAAUUUUCUCAAGACUCUCCACCCUGAUAUUGACAGAAUUUUCAGAAAUGUGUAUUCUAUAUUUAAGCAGAAUAGUUUGGACAUUAAGGUGUUGACUCUGGGGCCAGUUGCUAGGUUCAAUCUCUUCUCUGCCACUUUUUCUGUGACCUUGGAUAGGUUACUCUGUGACUGCAACUUACCCUAUAAGUUAGGUAGUAAUUGCCUUACAGGCAUUUUUGGAAAAUUCAUGAGUUAAUAUAAUUUAAGGAUUAUAAUAGUUCUUGGAAUAUAGUAUGGACUACAUAGUGUUGAUUCUUUUCUAAAUUGUUAAUUAUAUUUGUAUAUGGCAAUUUUAUCUAGAUCAGAGUUUUCCUAAAGAAUAAUUUGGACAGCUUUUGGGGAUGCUUGAGCAGGCAGUUUCAAGGAUGUGGUCUUUGAGUAGUUUCAUCAGAUUUGCCCUUGGUGCAUGUCUCUUCUUAGUGUCCAUGUUCAAAAUUUUCUACCAUCUUGGUUAGCAGGGGACCUUGGUGGCUCAAAUUAAGCCCUAUUUAGAAAAUUUAUUUGCAUUACUUUAGAUAUUAAAAUAAUUAUUUUAUAUUUUCACUGAUACUGCCAGAAUAUGCUAUGUUUUCUGUUUUGAAAAGAUGAACUAAAUGACCUCCCUCUGAGUCCACCAACAGCUCAAUUUUAUUUCCAGAUGAAAUCACCAUUACCAAAAUGCUAGCAGCCAGACAGCAGUCUCAGUCCAGAAUUCAAAGCCAAAAUGCUGAUUGAAAUUCACGGUAUUCAUAAUAGAAUGGACUAGGUACAGAGUUCACUGGGAACAUAGCUGAUGGAUGAAGUCCUUCUGCAUAUAGGAAUGUGACAUUCUUCACAGAAUAUAUGGCAUUUAAGAUGAGAUAUUAAGGAAAUGUUGGGUGGAUACAGAGAAUUUGGAAAGAAAGAGUGGACCUAAGUCAAGCUAAAAUAUUUAGAAUGUAUCUUUCAUCUAAAAGAGGACACUGCCAUUAGUAAUACAAUUUGUUCAAUGAUAAUUGUGAGAAAGGCAUAGAAGAGGCUUAACAGUGGAUAGAUAUUGGUGGCAUAAAGACAAAGCAGGAGAAAGGCAUAAGCUAAGGCAGCAGCAGAGAACAGGGCUUGGUUUUAAAGAGUCAUCUACUGCUAAAUAGGAGGACUGAUAAACCAGAA